CCUGAGUGAUGACAGCAAAGACUGACUUAUCCAUGGAGUCUUAUAUUAGCUCUAGCUGACU
This 61-nucleotide small nucleolar RNA is filed under the name Mastacembelus armatus (zig-zag eel). Its description in RNAcentral is "Small nucleolar RNA SNORD44 (ENSMAMG00000026705.1)". It matches the Rfam family "Small nucleolar RNA SNORD44". Rfam says of the family: U44 belongs to the C/D class of snoRNA which contain the C (UGAUGA) and D (CUGA) box motifs. Lineage: Eukaryota; Metazoa; Chordata; Actinopteri; Synbranchiformes; Mastacembelidae. The record is from Rfam by way of RNAcentral.